RNAcentral lists this ribosomal RNA (484 nucleotides) under uncultured bacterium. RNAcentral's name for it is "partial 16S ribosomal RNA". It matches the Rfam family "Bacterial small subunit ribosomal RNA", at positions 29 to 507 of the family's 1533-position model. The record is from RNAcentral.
AUUGAACGCUGGCGGCAUGCUUUACACAUGCAAGUCGAACGGCAGCGCGGGUUUCGGCCUGGCGGCGAGUGGCGAACGGGUGAGUAAUACAUCGGAACGUGCCCAGUAGUGGGGGAUAGCUCGGCGAAAGCCGGAUUAAUACCGCAUACGACCUGAGGGUGAAAGCGGGGGAUCUUCGGACCUCGCGCUAUUGGAGCGGCCGAUGGCAGAUUAGCUAGUUGGUGGGGUAAAGGCCUACCAAGGCGACGAUCUGUAGCUGGUCUGAGAGGACGACCAGCCACACUGGGACUGAGACACGGCCCAGACUCCUACGGGAGGCAGCAGUGGGGAAUUUUGGACAAUGGGCGAAAGCCUGAUCCAGCAAUGCCGCGUGUGUGAUGAAGGCCUUCGGGUUGUAAAGCACUUUUGGCGGGAACGAAAAGGACUGUGCCAAUACCACGGUUCGGUGACGGUACCCGCAGAAUAAGCACCGGCUAACUACGUG